UCAUGUUCCCUUAGCCGUUCC
This 21-nucleotide non-coding RNA is filed under the name Arabidopsis thaliana (thale cress). The record is from RNAcentral. Lineage: Eukaryota; Viridiplantae; Streptophyta; Magnoliopsida; Brassicales; Brassicaceae.